RNAcentral lists this ribosomal RNA (253 nucleotides) under uncultured bacterium. RNAcentral describes it as "partial 16S ribosomal RNA". It matches the Rfam family "Bacterial small subunit ribosomal RNA", at positions 524 to 776 of the family's 1533-position model. The record is from RNAcentral.
UACGUAGGGACCAAGCGUUGUUCGGAUUUACUGGGCGUAAAGGGCGCGUAGGCGGCCCGCUAAGUCGAACGUGAAAUCCCCGAGCUCAACUCGGGAACUGCGUCCGAUACUGGCGGGCUUGAAUCCGGGAGAGGGAUGCGGAAUUCCAGGUGUAGCGGUGAAAUGCGUAGAUAUCUGGAGGAACACCGGUGGCGAAGGCGGCAUCCUGGACCGGCAUUGACGCUGAGGCGCGAAAGCUAGGGGAGCAAACGGG